Molecule: long non-coding RNA, 279 nt
Organism: Pezoporus occidentalis (night parrot)
Lineage: Eukaryota; Metazoa; Chordata; Aves; Psittaciformes; Psittacidae
Exons: 2
Source: RefSeq, a predicted model, not a curated record
AUUAAAAACCAGUAAUUCAGAGGAAGUUCUAGCACUACUGAAAAUCAAGAGCAUUUCUCCCAUAUAAGGUUUGAAUUUAUAAACAAGAUUAUACGGAGAGAUACCUUAGUAACAAUUUUAGAGAAGGGAUCGUCAAGUACAUUCAUAAGUGUCCUUCAAGAUUGCUCAUGAGCAGCGUUUUAGCCAUAUGCAUGUACAGACCAAGUACUUGAAAUAUUCAGUGGGACUGACUGAAACAAAAGAAUCCAUCUCCAAAACAUAGUAUUGAUAGGGUUUCUU